This is a long non-coding RNA of Armigeres subalbatus, 515 nucleotides long. RefSeq lists it as uncharacterized. NCBI's taxonomy places the organism in Eukaryota, Metazoa, Arthropoda, Insecta, Diptera, Culicidae. The record is from RefSeq and is a predicted model, not a curated record. The transcript has 3 exons.
GACAUUUCUGUCGACGGCAGUUGGUCGUCAGGCCUGAGACCACAUUUUUUUCGAAUUCGGUGGUGAGGCUAAAAAUGAAAAGGACUAAAUACGUAAUUAUCCCUUUCGAACCACUACUAGAGAAAACGUGAAAUGUGGUGAAACGAUUCUACACCACUUGGGACACCGGUGUUACGCCACUCCGUACUGCACAAGCGGAAUCAGCAUAUCGGUCGAAUCGCAAGGAUAUACGUGUAAAGAUCCACAGAUCACAGCAUCCAGCUUUAAUCGUUCGGAAAUGGUGGAGAGAGUGGCAAAAUCAAACGUUCCUGUACUUUCAGACUAAUACAGUAGACGUUCGAUAACUGCAAGUCAUUUAACUGUAAUGCUUUUUAACUGCAAUUUGAUAGUUGCAACAGCUUUGCAGUUAUCGGACCGCCAAACUUCAAAACGGUGUCAAAGUCGAUGACAGCUGCACUGCAUUGCACAAUUCGAUGCUCUUUUGUUGCAUCUGACGUCGACUGACAACCGUUUGA